CAGCAGCCGCGGUAAUACGUAGGGUGCAAGCGUUAAUCGGAAUUACUGGGCGUAAAGCGUGCGUAGGCGGCUUCUUAAGUCGGAUGUGAAAUCCCUGAGCUUAACUUAGGAAUUGCAUUCGAUACUGGGAAGCUAGAGUAUGGGAGAGGAUGGUAGAAUUCCAGGUGUAGCGGUGAAAUGCGUAGAGAUCUGGAGGAAUACCGAUGGCGAAGGCAGCCAUCUGGCCUAAUACUGACGCUGAGGUACGAAAGCAUGGGGAGCAAACAGGAUUAGAUACCCCGGUAGUCCCUGUCUCUUAUAC
This 301-nucleotide ribosomal RNA is filed under the name uncultured bacterium. RNAcentral describes it as "partial 16S ribosomal RNA". It matches the Rfam family "Bacterial small subunit ribosomal RNA", at positions 509 to 807 of the family's 1533-position model. The record is from RNAcentral.